RNAcentral lists this ribosomal RNA (467 nucleotides) under uncultured bacterium. RNAcentral's name for it is "partial 16S ribosomal RNA". It matches the Rfam family "Bacterial small subunit ribosomal RNA", at positions 28 to 507 of the family's 1533-position model. The record is from RNAcentral.
GACGAACGCUGGCGGCGUGCUUAACACAUGCAAGUCGAACGGAGAGGCCUCUUUCGGGGGGUACUCGAGUGGCGAACGGGUGAGUAACACGUGAGUAACCUGCCCUUGACUUUGGGAUAACUUCAGGAAACUGGGGCUAAUACCGGAUAGGAGCUCCUGCUGCAUGGUGGGGGUUGGAAAGUUUCGGCGGUUGGGGAUGGACUCGCGGCUUAUCAGCUUGUUGGUGGGGUAGUGGCUUACCAAGGCUUUGACGGGUAGCCGGCCUGAGAGGGUGACCGGCCACAUUGGGACUGAGAGACGGCCCAGACUCCUACGGGAGGCAGCAGUGGGGAAUAUUGCACAAUGGGUGGAAGCCUGAUGCAGCAACGCCGUGUGCGGGAUGACGGCCUUCGGGUUGUAAACCGCUUUCGCUCAUGACGAAGCUUUGUGUGACGGUAGUGGGUAAAGAAGCACCGGCUAACUACGUG